Molecule: long non-coding RNA, 548 nt
Organism: Bombyx mori (domestic silkworm)
Lineage: Eukaryota; Metazoa; Arthropoda; Insecta; Lepidoptera; Bombycidae
Exons: 3
Source: RefSeq, a predicted model, not a curated record
AUAUUCUCCGUGAAUAGAAUUUGAAUAGGAAACAUUUACACAUAUGGAGGAACUACAUCGCUAACCAUCUAAAGCCCGACAUAUUUGAACGCUAUAAGAAAAAUCGAGUGUUCAUUUAGGCCCAGGUGCUCACCGGUAAGGUCGGUAACAGACCGUACUGAAUCAAAAUGGACGUUUAAUAACCACCGUAUUUUUGAAGCAUCAAUGACGCCAGUGAUCCCACGCAACUAUCAUCGAAAACACACGAAACUGAAUGUUGGUAAAGUUUCUUCUACCACAAGAAAUACAAGAAAAAAUUACUUCACUUCAAAGAAAUAAUUUCAAAUAAUACAAUUUAAAUAAACUCUACGCCAUCAUAAUCUAUGAACUCUCAACGGGAGACGAUCUAGUUAAAUUGAUCCUAAUAACAGGAAAGUCUAUCUUCCUCCUGCAUAGAAGACUUUAGUAAAAUUGAGUUCUUUAAUAAACUCAACCGCACACCAAAUAUUUUGUAGUUAAUUAGUCGGUAAUUAGCUGAACAUUAAUAUAAUUGAUAUGGUCAUAAAAAA